UACUCCCCAGGCGGGGUACUUAUUGCGUUAACUCCGGCACAGAAGGGGUCGAUACCUCCUACACCUAGUACCCAUCGUUUACGGCCAGGAUUACCGGGGUAUCUAAUCCCGUUCACUCCCCUGGCUUUCGCGCCUCAGCGUCAGACACAGUCCAGAAAGUCGCCUUCGCCACUGGUGUUCCUCCUAAUAUCUACGCAUUUCACCGCUACACUAGGAAUUCCACUUUCCUCUCCUGCACUCAAGAAAUGUAGUUUCCAUCCCAUCACGGGGUUGAGCCCCGAACUUUUAAGACAGACUUACAUUCCCGCCUGCGCGCGCUUUACGCCCAAUAAUUCCGGACAACGCUUGCCACCUACGUAUUACCGCGGCUGCUGGCACGUAGUUAGCCGUGGCUUCCUCCUCAGGUACCGUCAUUACUUAACAUUAUUCACAUUAAGCACAUUCGUCCCUGAAGACAGAGCUUUACGAUCCGAAAACCUUCUUCACUCACGCGGCGUUGCUCCGUCAGACUUUCGUC
This 517-nucleotide ribosomal RNA is filed under the name uncultured bacterium. RNAcentral's name for it is "partial 16S rRNA". The record is from RNAcentral.